AAGGGCACCACAAGAACGCGUGGAGCAUGUGGCUUAAUUUGACUCAACGCGGGAAAUCUUACCGGGUCCGGACACACUGAGGAUUGACAGGCAAUAUUAAUAUUUACUUCGGUAUUAUAUUAUGUUAAAUAUGCUAGUCCUUUCAUGAUUAUGUGAUAGGUGGUGCAUGGCCGUUCUUAGUUCGUGGAGUGAUCUGUCUGCUUAAUUGCGUUUCACUAAGGGCCUAUAAAUUACGUGUGUUGCGGCACUUUGACCCCUCUUUUUUAAAGAGCGCGCGUCUUAGUUUGUUUAGCUCACACAAUUAGGUCCUGAAAGCAACGAACGUGACCGCAACCUCUUGUUGCCUUUAUACCAAACAUGCAUGAAUUUAUUCUUGCGUGAAAAAAGGCUUUUUAAACUAGAGGGACCGCUGUUACUUUCUUAAACCAGAGGAAGGUUGCGGCAAUAACAGGUCUGUGAUGCCCUUAGAUGUUCCGGGCUGCACACGUGCUACAAUGAUUAUUGCAGUGAGCAUCUCAUUUUUUACACACCGCAUACGCGAGUCCAUUUAUUCACUUCGGGUGAUUUAAAUGUGUAUCUCUGCGAGCGGUAAAGCCUGCUUCGAGAGUAAGUGGGUAAUCAAUUAGAAGUAAUGAUUUCCUUUUUUUUAGCACACAUAUAUACGGCGUUUACACCCGGGCUGCCUUGUUGUAGCUUUUGUGCGUAUAGAUGUUUUUUCCGUAUGUGCGAUUGUCAAUUCAUGGUGGGGACAGACCAUUGUUAAUUGUUGGUCUCGGUCUUAACUAGGAAUGCCUUGUACGGGUCUUUGGUUCAACAAACCACCCGGAAUACGUCCCUGCCCUUUGUACACACCGCCCGUCGCUCUUACCGAUGGACUUCUCUGUGAGUUUGAGGGACUGGGAACGCAGAUUUUAUCUGCACACCUAUGGAAACUUAAACGAACAGUGUGGUCUAAAGGAAAGAGAAGUCGUAACAAGGCAUCGGUAGGUGAACCU
Molecule: ribosomal RNA, 995 nt
Filed under: Epistominella sp. isolate 286
Lineage: Eukaryota; Foraminifera; Rotaliida; Pseudoparrellidae
Description: SSU rRNA
Rfam family: Eukaryotic small subunit ribosomal RNA
Source: RNAcentral